AUUUCAAAGAAUAAUUUAAUUAAAAUAUUAAUUUUGGAGAUUAAAAAUAAAGAAUAUUCUUUUUCUUUGA
Molecule: transfer RNA, 70 nt
Filed under: Drepana pallida
Lineage: Eukaryota; Metazoa; Arthropoda; Insecta; Lepidoptera; Drepanidae
Description: tRNA-Pro
Source: RNAcentral